AUAUGACUAGCUACAGUUUCAAUACUUUCAAUUUCCUCUCCAUUCUUCCUACUCCUGUCCCACCCAAAUUUUUGCCUUUUCUGUGAGUAAGCCUUUCUCUUAACAAUAUAGAUAGAGAAGUUUCUGCUGGACUGUACACUGCAUAAAAGCAGGGACUUGGUCUUAUCUAUUUUUUUUAUUUAAACUUUACCUUCUGCCAUAAGGUUCUAAGGCAAAAGAGCAGUAAAGGCUAGGCAAUAGGGGGUAAGUAAAUUGCCCAGGGUCACACAGUGUAUUAGAAUAGAUAAUCUGUGGAGAUAUUUCUGGUUGUAAUAACUGGAUAUACCCUGUCUUGACUAGAGAGAUGCUAGGGAAACCUGAGGGUGCCUAGUUGUUAUGGAGAUAGAGGUACUUCUGAGAGAGAGAGAUGCUACUAGAGGGGAUACUCUGGGGUUGCCUAUUGAUCACUGCUAAUGGCUAAUAGAUCAAUAUUUUCCCUACCCUCCUCCUCCCUCAAUACCACCCUUCACCACCCUUUUCUGAAGCCAAUGGCUUUGCCCCUCCUCCCUUAGUGGACUAUGAGAUUUAUGAAGAAAAACUCCUUUCUCUUCCUUUCUCAAGUAAGGCGGUUUAUUGGGAACAGCAGUAUGGAGAUUGAGCUCUACUGUGAAGGCCACUGGAAGUGAUGCAUGGAUAUGGAAAUGAUGCACAGUCGCCAAGGGCUAAGUAAGGAGAAAAGAAGUAUGAUAAAGACAGAAUGCUGGCCUUGGAAUUGGAAGAUCAGGUUUAGGACCAACAUACUGGUUGGGUGACCUUGGGAAAAUCACAAAACUCCUCAAAAUACUCUAGGUACCUACCUCCCUAAGACUAUAAAUUGUAAAAAAUGAUGCCAAUCUGAAUUGGUGAAUGGAUUUUUCUCAUCUGGAAAUUCUUUAAUAAAAUCAAAGGUCCA
RNAcentral lists this long non-coding RNA (931 nucleotides) under Monodelphis domestica (gray short-tailed opossum). RNAcentral's name for it is "lncRNA (ENSMODG00000033120.2)". Lineage: Eukaryota; Metazoa; Chordata; Mammalia; Didelphimorphia; Didelphidae. The record is from RNAcentral.